Long non-coding RNA from Lutra lutra (Eurasian river otter), 2488 nucleotides. RefSeq lists it as uncharacterized. The transcript has 4 exons. NCBI's taxonomy places the organism in Eukaryota, Metazoa, Chordata, Mammalia, Carnivora, Mustelidae. The record is from RefSeq and is a predicted model, not a curated record.
CGACGCUCGAGGACGACAGGCUGCGCUCUCGGCGCCAGAGGGAGAACGGGCUGGCGGCAGCCGCUGUUUCUGUUUCUGUUUCUGUGGCUCUAUCUGGAUGACGGAAAGCAGAAGUCAUUGUCUUCCAGCUCCUCCAAGGAGUCCAGCAGAUGGUCACUGGGCGUCUUGAUCAUGCUGUUGACCAGGAGAGGCCAGAGCCGGCUGUCGGAAACAAUCUCUGCCCUGGAACCCAGAGGAUGGGUAAAAAGAAGCCACUUGUGAAAUAGCGGAAAAGGCACAGGAAAUGCUCUGCACAGUGGAGGAACUGAGCUAUGAGUGUCAUCAUUUGUUUGUUCCCAGUGGUGACACUUGCGUUCUCUUUCUCACAGAUUUGGAGGCUUUUACAGUUGGGAGGGCUCAAGGUCAGCCACAUGGUCCUCCAGCGCCCCAGCCAUCACCUUCGCAUUCUGCCCUGCAGAGCCACAGGGACCCUUUUAGGAGGCUGUCUGUGAGGAUAGUCCCUGACCGCCAAAAGCUUACAGGUUAGCGAAGGAGAAGAACCCAGGUGCCUGGAAGGCAAGUGCUCCCUCUUGCCUUGCACCCUUUGAUGUUCGGUUUACGUAAUCGUCUCCCACUCCCACCUCCCCGUCGGUCUUAACCAGUCCCAGAGCUGCCCUGCGUGCUUGGGUCAUGCCUACUAGUAGUGGGGGGAGAACGGGACUCCCAAGAUCUAGGGCGUGUGGCCUGGGCCAGUUACUCGAUGUCUGAGUUUGUUUCCUGUCAAAUGGGCGGUUUGGGAAUUUCAAUGAGGUAAUGUAUGCAAAAGAGCCUGUCUCCGUGGGUCAGCGUCAGCUAGGUCCUUUGAUGCUCCAGCGCCCAGCGCAGCGCCUGGCUUAGUCGUGGGCGAUGUCCGAGGGCGGGACAGGUGAUCCCCGGCUCCGCACAGCCGUGACCUCUGAGUCCCCUCCGCCCACAGCGCGCGGUUCCCAGCUGCCGCGCUCGCUUCCGCACGUGGGGGCAGGAAGACCGCCCUCCGCGGGUCUCACGCCCGGCAGCAACUCCCCUGGGGCAGUCCCUUGUACGGGAAGCGACUCCAACCUCGUAGGGGAAGCUGGAGGGGUUUUGUCUGCGGAAGCGUAGCCUGAAGAUAAAAGGGAAGUGUCAGCGCCGAGCCCCGACAGGUAGGCUAACAGGCACUGGGGGCGAGAUCAGCCGGCACGCUGACUCCGCGGCCCCGCGGGCUCUGCGAGAAAUAGGGAGAGCCCCAGGAGGCACCACGCGCCAGGAGGCUGGCUCCCCGGACGCCGCACUGGUCCGUCCGAGGGCGACGCCCUAAACUACAUCUCCCAGGGGGCCCCGGGAGUAAGCGGAGCCAAUCGGAGGGUGAGUGGGCGGGCUCAGCCGGGCCUCUGUCGCCCAGGGGGCGCCGGAGCGGGGCGCUGUGAUCCCGGUCGGAAACCCCAGCGUCCUAUGGCUGUGUCUCCUCGGAGCGGCCAGCGCCAGGCGCUGAGGAGGGGUGGCGGUCGCCUCUGGUAUCCUGGGCACUACGCCAAGAAGUGCAGUCGAUGCGGCCACCAGCGACCUGGGGUUAGCAGGGCGCGGAUGCCCACAACCCUUCACCCUUUAAGAGCCCCUAGACCUCGUUCAGUCGUGUUUCCGGCAAGUAUCUAGCGAGUGCCUGCUGUGCACCUGUUGCUGUGCGGGGACGAAGACAGGCAGGUCAGGUGGCACCCCUGCGCCAGAGCGCGUGUCACCUGGCUUGCGGGGGUGCAGGGGUGGGGUGGUCUCCUCUUGUGGCGAGAGCAGUGAAAGGAAUCCGUUCAGCCCAACGCCAGCACUGUCAUCUUGUCGGUUUUCAAACACCAGGAACCCUAGGGUACCGAUUCUAAAAUUUCUCUCUAUCGCGAUUGAUUUUUGAAAAAUCCAGGGAAAUGCUGUGGGCAGUGGAGAUAAUGGUUUUGUUCAGAAAAAAAGCAUAUGGACCCGCAGUUUCGUGUGUCGUUUCAGGGGAUUUAUGACUUCUGAAGUACGCCUGGCGGAACGGGGCACGGAGUUCUAGGCAUGGACCCUCCCAUCAGUUAAAGCCGCCGGUACUUUUUAGUUGUUUCACAUAUUUCACCUUAAAGGAAGAUUUCCUUUGAUCCAGAGGGCAGAGUUGGGCAGGAACACCCAGCCAGACGGUCUAUCUGUAUUUCUAGUCCCAACAUUCUGUUUAAGUCCUUCCCGUCAAGACUACUUUCUAGUCUCUGAACCACAGCAUUCUAUGCGAAGGUAACAGUGAAUGGAUCUGGAGUUCCCAGGUUUUUUGUGCUUUGAAGAAGCUUCUCUCUCCUGUUUAUUAUUUAAAUUUUAGUUUACAGUGCAAUAUUGGAUUCUGGAGUAGAAUGGAGUGACUCAUCACUUAUAUACAACACCCAGGGCUCAUCACAAGUGCCCUCUUUAAUGCCCCAUUACCCAUUUGUCCCUCCCCCACCUCCCUCCAUCAACCCUCAAGUUUAUUCUCUAUCGU